GGGCCCGUAGCUCAGGUGGAUAGAGCAUCUGCCUUCUAAGCAGAGGGUCGCGUGUUCGAAUCACGCCGGGCCUGCCA
RNAcentral lists this transfer RNA (77 nucleotides) under Candidatus Omnitrophota bacterium. RNAcentral describes it as "tRNA-Arg". It matches the Rfam family "tRNA". Rfam says of the family: Transfer RNA (tRNA) molecules are approximately 80 nucleotides in length. Their secondary structure includes four short double-helical elements and three loops (D, anti-codon, and T loops). Further hydrogen bonds mediate the characteristic L-shaped molecular structure. tRNAs have two regions of fundamental functional importance: the anti-codon, which is responsible for specific mRNA codon recognition, and the 3' end, to which the tRNAs corresponding amino acid is attached (by aminoacyl-tRNA synthetases). tRNAs cope with the degeneracy of the genetic code in two manners: having more than one tRNA (with a specific anti-codon) for a particular amino acid; and 'wobble' base-pairing, i.e. permitting non-standard base-pairing at the 3rd anti-codon position. The record is from RNAcentral. Lineage: Bacteria; Pseudomonadati; Candidatus Omnitrophota.